GCCGUGUGAACUGCAGGACACAUGAACAUCGACACUUUGAAUGCAUAUUGCGGAAUUGAGCUUGUCUCAAUUCCAUACCUGGCUCAGGGUCGGUUAAACAUCUAUCAGACGGUCUCCCGUUUGCAUUGAGCCCCUCGCUAUGACUUGUCAUAGCGGAGCUCUAAGAUUUGUCUUGCAGAUUGCAUCGACUCGACUCUUGGGAGAGAUCCUGGGUUGUUGUUGGUGGCUGCAGUGACAUGGCUGCCAAGACUCGACUGAUUGUCUUGAAAGCGCCAACCGAUUUCAUUUUCGACCUGAGAUUAGGUAAGACUACGCGCCGAAUUUAAGCAUAUUAAUAAGCGCAGGAAAAGAAAACAACUGUGAUUCCCUUAGUAAUGGCGAAUGAAACGGGAUUAGCCCAUCGCGGAACUGCAGGUCAUCUUGGCCUCGCGGAAUGUCGCGUUCGGGAGAGUCUUAUCGAGUUCUUUCCAGCCAGUCAAAGUCCAACUUGACUGUGGCCA
Molecule: ribosomal RNA, 500 nt
Filed under: Rhincalanus rostrifrons
Lineage: Eukaryota; Metazoa; Arthropoda; Copepoda; Calanoida; Eucalanidae
Description: eukaryotic LSU rRNA
Rfam family: Eukaryotic large subunit ribosomal RNA (bases 290-500)
Source: RNAcentral